Cyanistes caeruleus (blue tit) is the source of this 885-nucleotide non-coding RNA. Lineage: Eukaryota; Metazoa; Chordata; Aves; Passeriformes; Paridae. The record is from RefSeq and is a predicted model, not a curated record.
UUCAGAGUCUCUUUCCAUUGAGGUUGUCUGACUUCAGAAGCAGGAGAUGACCCUUCUUGUUUGUGCUGGUGUCUGGGUACUCUGUUAUCUGCACCUCCUUGCAGAAACAACCUCUCUGCAGAGCUGGCUGACCAAAUAUGAGAUAAGUAGGAGAGCCCGUGAGAAGUCAGAAUGGAGCUUAACGAUGCAGCAGUUUAGCAGAAGCAACCUGACUGCACGGGGACAUUGCUUUUCCUCUCUUCCUGCUGCCUUUUCCAGGCUUGGCAUUCUCAGUGUGGAUGACUUGGGACUGUAGGGUCCCUUUUCAAGUGCACCUACAGGCUUUGCCACAGCUGUUAAGCUUCCUUUGUGAAGCAGGAGUUCUACAAGGGCACAGGCACAAUUUGGAAAUAUCUAUUAAAAGUAGCAGGAGAGACAGAGGUAAAUGGAUUUCUGGAAGACUUGGCCAAAGGAGGAACUCUGGUUGCCUAUGGAUACUGACAUCUCCUGAACUAGGUUACUCAUCAGUUCAGUGGAAGAGCAACUGAAAGAACACAGGAUUUUUGACUUCUCUCCCCAUAUUCAGACAGCGCUACAUUAUGUGUUUGAUAGAGGACAAUGACCUUCAGAAAGUUUUCCAUCAUUUUAGAAGCUUUCUCAAAACUAGGACAGUGGUCUGGGCUCAGUCCUGACAACUUCUGAAAAGCCUCUCCAGGGUUCAGUCCUAAAUAUCAUCACUGUGGACACAUCUGGUUUGAAAGCUUAAAUUCUGCAAUGAUGAGAAAAAUCUGCUUGAAUUUAAUGGCAUGGAAACUCUCUUUUUUCUUUCCAUACCUCAGAAAUGUGCAGGGCUACAUUAAACCAACACUCUGGAAACAAAACCGCUUAAAUCCACGCUGGCUUUUG